RNAcentral lists this ribosomal RNA (253 nucleotides) under uncultured bacterium. Its description in RNAcentral is "partial 16S ribosomal RNA". It matches the Rfam family "Bacterial small subunit ribosomal RNA", at positions 524 to 776 of the family's 1533-position model. The record is from RNAcentral.
GACGAACCGAGCGAACGUUAUUCGGAAUCACUGGGCGUAAAGGGCGCGUAGGCGGCUCGGUAAGUAGGGGGUGAAAUCCUGCGGCUUAACCGCAGGGCUGCCUUCUAAACUGUCGAGCUCGAGCACGGUAGAGGCAGAUGGAAUUCCCGGUGUAGCGGUGGAAUGCGUAGAGAUCGGGAAGAACAUCAGUGGCGAAGGCGGUCUGCUGGGCCGUUGCUGACGCUGAGGCGCGACAGCGUGGGGAGCAAACAGG